Molecule: long non-coding RNA, 3349 nt
Filed under: Sus scrofa (pig)
Lineage: Eukaryota; Metazoa; Chordata; Mammalia; Artiodactyla; Suidae
Description: lncRNA (ENSSSCG00030008480.1)
Source: RNAcentral
UGGAAAGAAGUAAAACUGUUACUAUUUGCAGAUGAUGUGAUACUGUACAUAGAAAAUCCUAAAAACAGGACCAGAAAACUACUAGAGCUCAUCAGUAAAGUUUGAGGAUACAAACAACAUACAGAAACCUGUUGGAUUUCUACACAUGAACAAAAUGUCAGAAAGAUAUCAAGGAGACCGCCCCAAUUACCAUCACAUGAGAAAGAGUAAAAAACCUAGGAAUAGGCAUUCCCAUUGUGGCUCAGCGGAAAGGAAUCUGACUAGUAUUCAUGAGGAUACAGGUUCAAUCCCUGGUCUCACUCAGUGGAUUGAGGAUCCAGCGUUGCCAUGAGCUGUGGUGUAGGUCGCAGACAUGACUCAGAUCUGGUGGUGUUGGGGCUGUGGUGUAGGCCAGCAGCUACAGUUUGAAUUCAACCGUGAGCCUAGGAACCUCCAUGGGCUGAGGGUGCAGCCCUAAAAACAAACAAACAAACAAACAAAGUGGUGCUGGGAAAACUGGACAGCUACAUGUAAGAGAAUGAAAUUAGAACACUCCCUAACACCAUAUACAAAAAUAAACUCAAAAUGGAUUACAGACCUAAAUGUAAGACGAUGCUAUAAAACUCCUGGAGGAAAACAGAGGCAGAACAUCCUCUGACAUAAAUCACAGCAAUAUUUUUUUUGGAUCUGUAUCCUAGAAUAAUAAACACAUGAGGAGUUCCCGUCGUGGCUCAGUGGUUAAUGAAUCCAACUAGGAACCAUGAGCUGUGGUGUAGGUCCACUAAUGUGGCUUGGAUCUGACGUUGCUGUGGCUGUGGGGUAGGCCCGCAGCUACAGCUCCAAUUCAACCCCUAGCCUGGGAACCUCCAUAUGCUGUGGGUGCGGCCCUAAAAAGAGAAAAAUAAAAUUUCAGUGAUCCAAAGUAGAAUAAAAGAGGAAAAAACGUGUAGUCAAACUGCUGAAAACCAAAGGAAAAAGUCUUAAAAGCAGCCAAGAAAAAGAAAACUACCAAACUAGAAUUCUGUGCCCUUCAAAAAUGAAAUUAAAGACAAGGGAGAGAUGGAGUCGAAAGAAAAUGGACAGCAAGAUGGUAGACAGAAGCUCAGCUGUAUUAAGAAUCACAAUACACACUCUACUUAAAAAAGACUGUUGAGACUGGAUACAAAACCAAAACUAAACCACUCGAUACUUACAAGUCUCACUUUAAUUAUAUAAAUAUACAGAAAGAGUGAAGAUAAAAGAUGGAAAAGUUAUACAAUACAAAUGAUAACCCAAAGAAUGUUGGUGUAUUUCCAUCAACAUCAGACAAAGUAAACCUUAAGGCAGUAAGUGUUACUCAAAGUUAAAACAUUUCUCAAUAAGAGGGUCAGUUAUAGGAGUUCCCGUUGUGGCUCAGCAGUAACAAACCCGAGUAGUAUCCAUGAGGAUGUGAGUUCGAUCCCUAGCCCCACUCAGUGGGUUAAGGAUCCGGCAUUGCCAUGAGCUGUAGUGUAGGUCACGGAUGCAGCUCAGAUCUUGUGUUGUUGUGGCUGUGGUGUAGACCGGUAGCUGUAGCUCUGAUUGGACCCCUAGCCUGGCAACUUCUAUAUGCCCUAAUGCAUCACUGCAUCAUGUGCGAGUGUGGCCCUAAAAAAAAAAAAAGAGAGUUGACAAGAAGGGAUUCCAGACAAGAUGGUGGAGCAGGACUUGAGUUCACCUCCUUUCAUGAAACACCAAAAUCACAACAAACUAGAGGAGUUCCCGCUGUGGCAUGGUGGAAAUGAACCUGACUAGUACCCAUUAGGAUGUGGGUUGGAUCCCUGACCCCAUUCAAUGGGUUAAGGAUCUGGCAUUGCCAUGAGCUGUGGUGUCAGCUGCAGAUGUGGCAUUUCUGUGGCUGCGGUAUAGGCUGGUAGAGCUCUGAUUCAACCCCUAGCCUGGGAACUUCCAUAUGCGCGGUGCAGCCCUAAAAAGCAAAAACAAACAAACAAAAAACUUAUUUCUGAACAGCCAUCAACAAGAUAGACCACAAAAAAGAUGUCCUAUUCCUAAAGACAAAGAAACCACAACGAGAUGGUAGGGAGGGCACUUUCAUGAUAAAAGCAAUCCUAGGAGUUCCAAUCUGUGGCGCAAUGGAUUAAGACUCCCACUGUCGCAGCUUGGAUGGCUGCUGAAGCACAGGUUCAGUCCCCAGCCCAGCAAAGUGGGUUAAAGAUAUGGCACUUCCACAUGUGGCUAAGAUUCGAUCCCUGGUCUGGGAACUUCCAUAUGCUGUGGGUGUGACCAUUAAAAAGACAAAAAAAGCAAUCCCAUACCUGGUGAGUGGGCAACCCCAUAGACUGGAAAAUAACCAUAUCACAGAGGCUCUCCCACAGGAGUGAGAGUUCCAAACCCACAUCAGGAUCCCCAGCCUGGGUAUCUGGCUUUGGGAGGAAGCAUCGAGCAUUUGGCUUUGAAUGUCAGUGGGACUUGAGUGCAGGAGCUCCACAGGACCGGGGAAAACAGACACCACUGUGGGAGGGUGCUCACAGGCUUUCAUGUGCAUUGGGACCUAAGGCAAAGCAGAGACUCCAUAAGAAUCUGGGUCAGACCUGCCUGUGGUUCUUGGAAGAUCUCCUGGGGAGGGAGGGGUUGGCUGCGUUUCACUGUGGAGGCAGGACACUGGAGGUAGAGGCCCCAGAGAAUGUGAGCUCCCCUGGAGGAUGCCAUUUUAGAAAAAUCUGGCACAGCUGCAGGCAUAGCCCCCAGGCCAAACCACAAACAGGGCAGGAACACAGCCCCACCCAUCAGCCAACAGGCCACCUCUAAUCACAGCCUGGGACACAGCCCCACCCACCAGGACAAGACUCAGCUCCACCCACCAGUGGGCAGGCACAAGUCCCUCCCAUCAGGAAGCCUGUAGCAAGCCCCAGAACCAACCUCAGCCACAAGGGGGGCAGAGAGCAGAAGCAAGAGAGGCUACAACCCUACAGCCUACAGAAAAGAGACCACAAGCACAGAAACCUAGACAAAAUGAAAUAGCAGAGAAACACACUCCAGAUGAAGAAACAAAACAAAACCCCAGAACAGCUAGGUGAAGUGGACAUAAACAACCUACAUGAAAAAGACUUUAUUUUUAUUUUUUGCUUUUUAGGGUCAAAUCCCCGGCAUAUGGAAGUUCCCAGGCUAGGAGUUGAACUGGAGCUACAGCUGCUGGCCUACACCACAGCUACAGCAACACCAGAUCCUUAACCCACUGAGCGAGGCCAGGGAUUGAACCCACAUUCUCAUGGAUCCUAGUCAGGUUUGUUGCCACUGAACCACAAUGGGAACUCCGAAAGACUUUAGAGUAAUGAUAGUAAGAAGGAUCCAAGAUCUCAAAAAAAAAAAAAAAAAAAAAAAAAAACAAAAA